This 492-nucleotide ribosomal RNA is filed under the name uncultured bacterium. RNAcentral's name for it is "bacterial SSU rRNA". It matches the Rfam family "Bacterial small subunit ribosomal RNA", at positions 15 to 507 of the family's 1533-position model. The record is from RNAcentral.
GAUCAUGGCUCAGGAUGAACGCUGGCGGCGUGCUUAACACAUGCAAGUCGAACGAAGCAAUUUAACGGAAGUUUUCGGAUGGAAGCUAGAUUGACUGAGUGGCGGACGGGUGAGUAACGCGUGGGUAACCUGCCUUAUACAGGGGGAUAACAGUUGGAAACGACUGCUAAUACCGCAUAAGCGCACGGUAUCGCAUGAUACAGUGUGAAAAACUCCGGUGGUAUAAGAUGGACCCGCGUCUGAUUAGCUUGUUGGUGAGGUAACGGCCCACCAAGGCGACGAUCAGUAGCCGGCCUGAGAGGGUGAACGGCCACAUUGGGACUGAGACACGGCCCAAACUCCUACGGGAGGCAGCAGUGGGGAAUAUUGCACAAUGGGGGAAACCCUGAUGCAGCGACGCCGCGUGAGUGAUGAAGUAUUUCGGUAUGUAAAACUCUAUCAGCAGGGAAGAUAAUGACGGUACCUGACUAAGAAGCACCGGCUAAAUACGUG